Molecule: ribosomal RNA, 468 nt
Filed under: uncultured bacterium
Lineage: Bacteria
Description: partial 16S ribosomal RNA
Rfam family: Bacterial small subunit ribosomal RNA
Source: RNAcentral
GACGAACGCUGGCGGCGUGCUUAACACAUGCAAGUCGAACGGAAAGGCCCUGCUUUUGUGGGGUGCUCGAGUGGCGAACGGGUGAGUAACACGUGAGUAACCUGCCCUUGACUUUGGGAUAACUUCAGGAAACUGGGGCUAAUACCGGAUAGGGGCUCCUGCUGCAUAGUGGGGGUUGGAAAGUUUCGGCGGUUGGGGAUGGACUCGCGGCUUAUCAGCUUGUUGGUGGGGUAGUGGCUUACCAAGGCUUUGACGGGUAGCCGGCCUGAGAGGGUGACCGGCCACAUUGGGACUGAGAUACGGCCCAGACUCCUACGGGAGGCAGCAGUGGGGAAUAUUGCACAAUGGGCGGAAGCCUGAUGCAGCAACGCCGCGUGCGGGAUGACGGCCUUCGGGUUGUAAACCGCUUUCGCCUGUGACGAAGCGUGAGUGACGGUAAUGGGUAAAGAAGCACCGGCUAACUACGUG